Molecule: ribosomal RNA, 273 nt
Filed under: uncultured bacterium
Lineage: Bacteria
Description: partial 16S ribosomal RNA
Rfam family: Bacterial small subunit ribosomal RNA
Source: RNAcentral
CUACGUAUGUCGCAAGCGUUAUCCGGAAUUAUUGGGCGUAAAGCGAGUCUAGGCGGCUUGUUAAGUCAGAUGUGAAAAUGCGGGGCUCAACUCCGUAUUGCGUUUGAAACUGGCAGGCUAGAGUACUGGAGAGGUGGGCGGAACUACAAGUGUAGAGGUGAAAUUCGUAGAUAUUUGUAGGAAUGCCGAUAGUGAAGACAGCUCACUGGACAGAUUCUGACGCUAAAGCUCGAAAGCGUGGGGAGCGAACAGGAUUAGAAACCCGGGUAGUCC